CCUACGGGAGGCAGCAGUGAGGAAUAUUGGUCAAUGGACGAGGGUCUGAACCAGCCAAGUAGCGUGAAGGAUGACUGCCCUAUGGGUUGUAAACUUCUUUUAUAUGGGAAUAAAAUGUUCCACGUGUGGGAUUUUGUAUGUACCAUAUGAAUAAGGAUCGGCUAACUCCGUGCCAGCAGCCGCGGUAAUACGGAGGAUCCGAGUGUUAUCCGGAUUUAUUGGGUUUAAAGGGAGCGUAGGUGGAUUGUUAAGUCAGUUGUGAAAGUUUGCGGCUCAACCGUAAAAUUGCAGUUGAAACUGGCAGUCUUGAGUACAGUAGAGGUGGGCGGAAUUCGUGGUGUAGCGGUGAAAUGCUUAGAUAUCACGAAGAACUCCGAUUGCGAAGGCAGUUCACUGGACUGCAACUGACACUGAGGCUCGAAAGUGUGGGUAUCAAACAGGAUUAGAUACCCUAGUAGUC
This 460-nucleotide ribosomal RNA is filed under the name uncultured bacterium. RNAcentral's name for it is "partial 16S ribosomal RNA". It matches the Rfam family "Bacterial small subunit ribosomal RNA", at positions 338 to 795 of the family's 1533-position model. The record is from RNAcentral.